RNAcentral lists this small nucleolar RNA (105 nucleotides) under Jatropha curcas. The record is from RNAcentral. Lineage: Eukaryota; Viridiplantae; Streptophyta; Magnoliopsida; Malpighiales; Euphorbiaceae.
ACUUAAUAUGUGUACCUGCUGUAAAUAUGGACGAAAACUAAUAUGUAGGCUUUAGGUGGGCCUGUACUGAGUUUCAGCUUGCCCAUAAAGGACCUACUAACAUUU